AGCAGCCGCGGUAAUUCCAGCUCCAAUAGCGUAUAUUAAAGUUGCUGCAGUUAAAAAAGCUCGUAGUUGAAUUUCGGGAUCAUCAUGUCGGUCGUGCCUCGGUACGUACUGGCAUUGUUGGUUUCUACCUUCUGACGAACCAUGAUGUCAUUUAUUUGGUGUCGUGGGAAAUCAGGACUGUUACUUUGAAAAAAUUAGAGUGUUUAAAGCAGGCUCACGCUUGAAUACAUUAGCAUAGAAUAAUGAAAUAGGACGUUUGAUUCUAUUUUGUUGGUUUCUAGGAUCGGCGUAAUGAUUAAUAGGGAUAGUUGGGGGCAUUAGUAUUCAAUUGUCAGAGGUGAAAUUCUUGGAUUUAUUGAAGACUAACUACUGCGAAAGCAUUUGCCAAGGAUGUUUUCAUUAAUCAAGAACGAAAGCUAGGGGAUCGAAGACGAUCAGAUACCGUCGUAGUCUUAACCAUAAACUAUGCCGACUAGGGAUCGGAUGAUGUUAAUUUUUUGAAUGACUCAUUCGGCGCCUU
RNAcentral lists this unclassified non-coding RNA (520 nucleotides) under uncultured Glomus. Its description in RNAcentral is "SSU rRNA". It matches the Rfam family "Eukaryotic small subunit ribosomal RNA", at positions 569 to 1089 of the family's 1831-position model. Lineage: Eukaryota; Fungi; Glomeromycota; Glomeromycetes; Glomerales; Glomeraceae. The record is from RNAcentral.